GGAGAGGUGCCAGAGUGGACGAAUGGGGCAGUCUCGAAAACUGUUGUGGUCCUUCGGGCCACCGAGGGUUCGAAUCCCUCCCUCUCCG
RNAcentral lists this transfer RNA (88 nucleotides) under Anaerolineales bacterium. RNAcentral describes it as "tRNA-Ser". It matches the Rfam family "tRNA". From Rfam's summary of the family: Transfer RNA (tRNA) molecules are approximately 80 nucleotides in length. Their secondary structure includes four short double-helical elements and three loops (D, anti-codon, and T loops). Further hydrogen bonds mediate the characteristic L-shaped molecular structure. tRNAs have two regions of fundamental functional importance: the anti-codon, which is responsible for specific mRNA codon recognition, and the 3' end, to which the tRNAs corresponding amino acid is attached (by aminoacyl-tRNA synthetases). tRNAs cope with the degeneracy of the genetic code in two manners: having more than one tRNA (with a specific anti-codon) for a particular amino acid; and 'wobble' base-pairing, i.e. permitting non-standard base-pairing at the 3rd anti-codon position. The record is from RNAcentral. Lineage: Bacteria; Bacillati; Chloroflexota; Anaerolineae; Anaerolineales.